AAGUCGUAACAAGGUUUCCGUAGGUGAACCUGCGGAAGGAUCAUUAGUAUGACCAAUGUAAUUGGCAGACCAACCUAGUUGUUGGCGUCCCUUUUUUUUUUAAACUCCUGUUUUCUCUGAAAUCAGUCUGAACUUGUUUAUUAUUAAACGUUAAAACUUUCAACAACGGAUCUCUUGGUUCUCC
This 184-nucleotide unclassified non-coding RNA is filed under the name fungal sp. Its description in RNAcentral is "partial internal transcribed spacer region". The stretch from base 1 to 46 matches the Rfam family "Eukaryotic small subunit ribosomal RNA", at positions 1786 to 1831 of the family's 1831-position model. The record is from RNAcentral. Lineage: Eukaryota; Fungi.